GGUUGAGUCGUCUAAAGGUUAAGGCGUGGAAUUGCAAAUUCUGAGAUAGCAGUUCAAUUCUGCUCUCAACC
RNAcentral lists this transfer RNA (71 nucleotides) under Pseudomuriella schumacherensis. RNAcentral describes it as "tRNA-Cys". It matches the Rfam family "tRNA". From Rfam's summary of the family: Transfer RNA (tRNA) molecules are approximately 80 nucleotides in length. The record is from RNAcentral. Lineage: Eukaryota; Viridiplantae; Chlorophyta; Chlorophyceae; Sphaeropleales; Pseudomuriellaceae.